Molecule: ribosomal RNA, 1394 nt
Filed under: metagenome
Description: bacterial SSU rRNA
Rfam family: Bacterial small subunit ribosomal RNA
Source: RNAcentral
ACGCUGGCGGCGUGGAUAAGGCAUGCAAGUCGAACGCGACCUUUUCUGAAAGUGCUGCGAUUACAUCAAGGCACCUGAUGGUUUGGUCGAGUGGCAAACGAGUUAGUAACACCUUGGUACGUACCCUCCAGUCGGGCACAACGGGUCGAAAGAUUCGCUAAUUCCCGAUAGACCGGCAACGGUAAAGUCGCAAGACGCUGGUGGAGCGGCCUAGGUCCUAUCAGCUUGUUGGUGAGGUAACGGCUCACCAAGGCUACGACGGGUAGGGGGUGUGAGAGCAUGACCCUCAACGACGAAACUGAGACACGGUUCGUACACCUACGGGUGGCAGCAGUCGAGAAUAUUCGACAAUGGGCGAAAGCUGAUCGAGCGACGCCGCGUGCGGGAUGAAGGCCUUCGGGUUGUAAACCGCUUUUGCGUGGGAAGAACUUUGACGGUACCACGAGAAUAAGGGGUUGCUAACUCUGUGCCAGCAGCAGCGGUAAUACAGAGACCCCGAGCGUUAUCCGGAUUUACUGGGCGUAAAGGGCGAGCAGCCGGUCGGACUAGUCUGAUGUUAAAUGGCGGGGCCCAACUCCGUCGCCGCAUCGGAAACGGUACGACUCGAGCGGGUGAGAGGCAGGCAGAACGUGUAGUGUAGGGGUGAAAUCCACUGAUAUUACACGGAAUACCAAAAGCGAAGGCAGCCUGCUAGCGCCUUGCUGACGGUCAGUCGCGAAAGCGUGGGGAUCAAAAAGGAUUAGAUACCCUUGUAGUCCACGCCCUAAACGUUGCCAACUAGCUAUUGGGAGCAUCGACCCUUCCAGUGGCGAAGCUAACGCGUUAAGUUGGCCGCCUGGGAAGUACGAGCGCAAGCUUAAAACUCAAAGGAAUAGGCGGGAACUCGCACAAGCAGUGGGUCAUGUGGUUCAAUUCGACUCUAACCGAGAAACCUCACCAGGGCUUGAAAUCCAGCUGCACGCUUCAGAAAUGAAGAAGCCUUCGAGGGUGCUGGACAGGUGUUGCACGGCUGUCGUCAGCUCGUCACGUGAGUGGUCUCCUUAAGUGGAUUAACGAGCGCAACCCCUACGAUGUGUUACAAGUGUCACGUCGGACUGCUCCGGUAACGGAGAGGAAGGUGGGGAUGACGUCAAGUCAGCGUGGCCCUUUGAUGCCCUGGGCUACACACAUGAUACAAUGGCCAUUACAACGGGUUGCCAAGCCGCGAGGCGGAGCUAAUCCUAUCAAAGGUGGCCCCAGUUCGGAUUGGAGGCUGCAACUUGCCUCCAUGAAGUUGGAAUUGCUAGUAAUCGCGGAUCAGCAUGCCGCGGUGAAUACGUUCUCGAGUCUUGUACUCACCGCCCGUCAAGUCAAGGGAGCUGGGGGUGCCCGAAGGUCUGCCUUGCGCAUGACUA